This 503-nucleotide ribosomal RNA is filed under the name uncultured bacterium. RNAcentral describes it as "partial 16S ribosomal RNA". It matches the Rfam family "Bacterial small subunit ribosomal RNA", at positions 30 to 523 of the family's 1533-position model. The record is from RNAcentral.
AUUGAACGCUGGCGGCAGGCUUAACACAUGCAAGUCGAGCGGGGUGAUGGUGCUUGCACUAUCACUUAGCGGCGGACGGGUGAGUAAUGCUUAGGAAUCUGCCUAUUAGUGAGGGACAACAUCUAGAAAGGGAUGCUAAUACCGCAUACGUCCUACGGGAGAAAGCAGGGGAUCACUUGUGACCUUGCGCUAAUAGAUGAGCCUAAGUCGGAUUAGCUAGUUGGUAGGGUAAAGGCCUAACAAGGCGACGAUCUGUAGCGGGUCUGAGAGGAUGAUCCGCCACACUGGGACUGAGACACGGCCCAGACUCCUACGUGAGGCAGCAGUGGGGAAUAUUGGACAAUGGGGGGAACCCUGAUCCAGCCAUGCCGCGUGUGUGAAGAAGGCCUUAUGGUUGUAAAGCACGUUAAGCGAGGAGGAGGUUCUUUUGGUUAAUACCCAAGAUGAGCGGACGUUACUCGCAGAAUAAGCACCGGCUAACUCUGUGCCAGCAGCCGCAGUAA